This 349-nucleotide ribosomal RNA is filed under the name uncultured Pseudomonas sp. Its description in RNAcentral is "bacterial SSU rRNA". It matches the Rfam family "Bacterial small subunit ribosomal RNA", at positions 1034 to 1382 of the family's 1533-position model. Lineage: Bacteria; Pseudomonadati; Pseudomonadota; Gammaproteobacteria; Pseudomonadales; Pseudomonadaceae. The record is from RNAcentral.
ACAGGUGCUGCAUGGCUGUCGUCAGCUCGUGUCGUGAGAUGCUGGGUUAAGUCCCGUAACGAGCGCAACCCUUGUCCUUAGUUACCAGCACGUUAUGUGGGCACUCUAAGGAGACUGCCGGUGACAAACCGGAGGAAGGUGGGGAUGACGUCAAGUCAUCAUGGCCCUUACGGCCUGGGCUACACACGUGCUACAAUGGUCGGUACAAAGGGUUGCCAAGCCGCGAGGUGGAGCUAAUCCCAUAAAACCGAUCGUAGUCCGGAUCGCAGUCUGCAACUCGACUGCGUGAAGUCGGAAUCGCUAGUAAUCGCGCAUCAGCCAUGGCGCGGUGAAUACGUUCCCGGGCCUU